This 455-nucleotide long non-coding RNA is filed under the name Gallus gallus (chicken). The record is from RNAcentral. Lineage: Eukaryota; Metazoa; Chordata; Aves; Galliformes; Phasianidae.
CUCCGUGAUGCCCACAGGCUUCAAGUCAGCUCUCAAAGCCAUAGGACUCCUUGCACACGACUCCAGCACAAAGGAUGGCACACUUGUUCCAUACACUCAAACGGACCAAGCAAUGGCAUCACACUCACAUAAAACACACACACAGAAGCAGCCAAACCCUGAGCACGCACAUCCCCUCCUGCACUACUGGAGCCCACCGCUCACCUUCACACCUCCGUGCAUUUCUGCUGUUUUACACUGAUGCAGCCCUGCUACAGCUCCAUGCGUGUCACACAAGGCCUUCAGGACCUCUUGUUUCGCAAACCCCAUCUGCAGGCAUUGCUUCAUGAGCUUCACCACCUGCCCUCCUGAGCAAAAACAAACACUGAGAACAAGAGCAAAGCGCACUGGAUUCCACCUGGCCUGCUCCCCAAGCCUCAGUCCUGCCACACAUACCCUGCUAUGCAGACUCAUCC